GACGAACGCUGGCGGCGUGCUUAACACAUGCAAGUCGAGCGGAGAUAUAUGAAAGCUUGCUUUUAUGUAUCUUAGCGGCGGACGGGUGAGUAACGCGUGGGCAACCUGCCUUGUACUGGGGAAUAACACCGGGAAACUGGUGCUAAUACCGCAUAAUAUCACGGUGUGGCAUCAUGUUGUGAUCAAAGGAGCAAUCCGGUAUGAGAUGGGCCCGCGUCCGAUUAGCUAGUUGGUAGGGUAAUGGCCUACCAAGGCGACGAUCGGUAGCCGAACUGAGAGGUUGAUCGGCCACAUUGGGACUGAGACACGGCCCAGACUCCUACGGGAGGCAGCAGUGGGGAAUAUUGCGCAAUGGGGGAAACCCUGACGCAGCAACGCCGCGUGAAGGAUGAAGGCUUUCGGGUUGUAAACUUCUUUGAUGAGGGACGAUAAUGACGGUACCUCGAAAACAAGCCACGGCUAACUUCGUGCCAGCCGCCGCAGUAA
RNAcentral lists this ribosomal RNA (486 nucleotides) under uncultured bacterium. Its description in RNAcentral is "partial 16S ribosomal RNA". It matches the Rfam family "Bacterial small subunit ribosomal RNA", at positions 28 to 523 of the family's 1533-position model. The record is from RNAcentral.